RNAcentral lists this ribosomal RNA (116 nucleotides) under Peromyscus maniculatus bairdii (prairie deer mouse). The record is from RNAcentral. Lineage: Eukaryota; Metazoa; Chordata; Mammalia; Rodentia; Cricetidae.
UGCUAAGGCCUCCACUCUGAAUGUGCCCAUCUCCUCUGAUCUUGGAAGCUAAGCAGAGGUGGGCCUGGUUAGUACCCGGAUGGGGGACUGCCUGGGAAUACCUGGUGCUUUAGGAU